Molecule: non-coding RNA, 415 nt
Organism: Misgurnus anguillicaudatus (oriental weatherfish)
Lineage: Eukaryota; Metazoa; Chordata; Actinopteri; Cypriniformes; Cobitidae
Source: RefSeq, a predicted model, not a curated record
CCUCGCUGAAUCUAGUGGGCAUGGCAGCAUCAAGUGCGCAGGCGCAGUAGAGUUUGUUUAAACUAACGGUACAGCUUGUAUCAAGUACUCCGGACGACCAAAGAUGGAACUGAAAAUCUUCAUUGUUCUCUUCUGCGCUCUUUUCACUGGAGGACAUUCACUACAAUGUAAUGAGUGUUCAGGUAUAAUGGGUUCUUGUGAAAGCAAAGUGAAGAUGUGUCCAGGCACUGAAACAUGUUCAAGUGUAACAACUGUAGUAUCAACUGGUGGCACUGAACUUAAAAUGCAGUCUAAGGGUUGUGCAGUGACGGAGAGUUGUAUAAAUGCAUCUUCUAACCUCGAAUUUACAAGGACAGUAACAUCUACACAAUGCUGUAACACAGACCUUUGUAAUAGCAAAGACGCCCCAGGUAUG